This is a long non-coding RNA of Alligator mississippiensis (American alligator), 1388 nucleotides long. RefSeq lists it as uncharacterized. NCBI's taxonomy places the organism in Eukaryota, Metazoa, Chordata, Crocodylia, Alligatoridae. The record is from RefSeq and is a predicted model, not a curated record. The transcript is spliced from 4 exons.
UCUCCCACAGGAACGUUGGCGGCUCUGAGCUUCAUGAAUCUGUGACUGUGCCUGGCUUCUGAUUAUCAUCUAUUAUUUUCUCUUUGUUCCUGUAUUGGGUCUUGCCCUUGCCUGUCUGCUGGUUCCUGCCCUGGCUUGUAGUUUUGAGUUUUGACUCUCAGUUCCUGUUUUGGAUCCUGGUAAAAUCUUUUCCUAGCACCUGACCUAGAACCUGCCACAGUCUGGAACUGCUUACCUUCUGAUUUCUAUCACAGGGUUUGAUUAUUGUUCCUGAUUCCAGCCCCUUGGGUUGACUCCUGACUUUGUGGGCCCUCCUUUCCAGAACCAGAAGUUCACCAGUGAGGCUGCUAUAGGUUUGUCUCCAGCAAGCAGGUGAAAGAUGAGCGCAGACCAGUAACUCUAGAAAACUUCCAGGACCCAAAUACACCAGUAGUGAGCAGGGAAGAAUGUGAGAAAAGUGAUCGUAUAAGAAGACAUAAUUUUUUCUCAGUCCUAUACCUGAUAGCAUUGAAGGAAGCAAGAGCUCCACUUGUAACACUGCCACUGGGGACAUGUAGGCUACAGAGGCAAGCUGCUGCCGAUGCAUGCACAGACAGGAAUGUGAAUGCCUGCAGGACUGCAGUCAUUGGCUCUGUGAGAUGGUGAGACAGAUCAUCUGGCUACAGGCAAAUUCAUGGCUGUUCAGUGCGACAGAAAUCACUCCAAAUCCAGGAGGCAUUUCCAGACCCAGGAGGACUGGUGAAUAAUGGCUGGGUUCCUUGCAACAAUUCUAUGCCUGCUGGUCAUCAGCCCCGUUCCUGCCUGAGAGCAGGACAGUAGGGGCCAAGCUCUGCCAUCCACCAGUUUGCAGUCAAGGUCAGAAAGUCCACCUUAGAGCCAAGGUUUUUUAAUUACAAAUGAUUAUUGCUUAGACUGAUUUUUUUUCCACAAAUCAGGCAUUGUUAUGGUAGCAAAAAUAAAUUUCUCUGUUGUAGUAAUUAUGCAUUGUUAUCUUUAUAAAAGCGGUUCUGUGGUUUGUUUAAUUAAGGUUAACAUUUGGUUUGUAAGUAAAGGUUUCUAUUUCCUUUGUUCAAUUCUUCACUUCAUGUUCCCUGUGUAUAAGAGGGGAAGUGUAGAAGGAUGGGGGGAAGGGGGUUGCUGGCUUGUAGGAUGAGGGGCUUGCAUGAGCUCAUGAUGGGCAUGCCUGUCUCUCAAUAGUGGCAAUUAGCAGUUAGUCAAGCCUCCCUGCCUGGUUUUGAAUAUGCUUUAUUCUCUUCCACUGCCAGUCACCAGCUGAACUCCUGAACCCCGAGAAGCUGCAUGCACUCAGAGGAAAUACUGUGUACUAUGCAGCAUCAACCCAAUUACUGUUCCCCACAUUAAUAAAAUUCGGGACCAGCCCACCACCA